This 73-nucleotide transfer RNA is filed under the name Ovis aries (sheep). It matches the Rfam family "tRNA". From Rfam's summary of the family: Transfer RNA (tRNA) molecules are approximately 80 nucleotides in length. Their secondary structure includes four short double-helical elements and three loops (D, anti-codon, and T loops). The record is from Rfam by way of RNAcentral. Lineage: Eukaryota; Metazoa; Chordata; Mammalia; Artiodactyla; Bovidae.
UCCCUGGUGGUCCAGUGGUUAAGACACUGCGCUUCUAAUGCAGAGCACAUGGUUUUGAUCGCUGGCUGGGGAA